GUCCUGAGAUGGGAAUCGAACCCACAAUGUUCCGCUUACCGGGCAGAUGCCAUGUCCACUAGGCUACCCUGGA
Molecule: non-coding RNA, 73 nt
Organism: Cordylochernes scorpioides
Lineage: Eukaryota; Metazoa; Arthropoda; Arachnida; Pseudoscorpiones; Chernetidae
Source: the annotation of a GenBank genome assembly